RNAcentral lists this long non-coding RNA (565 nucleotides) under Diabrotica virgifera virgifera (western corn rootworm). RNAcentral describes it as "uncharacterized LOC126889653". The record is from RNAcentral. Lineage: Eukaryota; Metazoa; Arthropoda; Insecta; Coleoptera; Chrysomelidae.
GAAAUUAGCAAAUGCCGUUAUACAUUUAGCAGAUGUACCUACCUCAAAUUAUUCCAAAAGGAUGAGAUGAAAUUAAAUAUAUAUAAACCAUAAUUCAAUAUCCAAUUUAGAGAACAUUUUCGUAUGUCCAGAACUACUUUCCAGGAACUAUUUAAUUGUAUUGAUCAUAUCCACCAAUUUGAAAACAGAAUAAUUCUAUUGGAAAAAAUUAAUGUUUAUGAUUUGGAUGCUAAGUAAACCAGAGAAUUUGUUGCUGGGGAUACGUUUGGUUUGCCAAAGAGCUGUGGACAUAAGAUUUUCACCCAAAUAAUAUAGAAUUACAAAAAAUUGGAAAUAACUAAUCUUGAAUAUCAAUGUGUAUAUCGAGUUUAAUUUUAUUGUAAAUAUUCUAUAAUAUAAUUUUAUUGUAAAUAUUGUAUUAACACAUUUGUGGACACAUCUUUAUAUGCAGACAGUAAUUUCCCUUUGUAAGUACAUGCAUAUAUAGUCGUAUCUGCGAAUGGGUUAAUUGUAAAUCGUAAUCAAUAAAAAACUGGUUUGUUUGAAAAUAAAUGUAGUACAAAUA